AACCUUAUGGACCUGCGGGCGUAUACCUGCGGAAGGAUCAUUACAGAGUGUUUAACCCCCUAUAAAAUGGUGGGUCUAACCUCCCGUCCUUUGCUGGGUCCCCCUUCUGGAGGACUUUCAAAACUUUCUGCUUCGGCGGGGUAUACCCGCCGGAACACCCUCAAAAAAUUCUUGAUCAAAAUGGUUCGGUCCGAGAAACUUUUUGUGAAAAUUAGCGAAAAACUUUCAACAACGGAUCUC
RNAcentral lists this unclassified non-coding RNA (240 nucleotides) under soil metagenome. RNAcentral describes it as "partial contains 5.8S ribosomal RNA, internal transcribed spacer 2, and large subunit ribosomal RNA". The record is from RNAcentral.